RNAcentral lists this ribosomal RNA (448 nucleotides) under uncultured bacterium. Its description in RNAcentral is "partial 16S ribosomal RNA". It matches the Rfam family "Bacterial small subunit ribosomal RNA", at positions 29 to 523 of the family's 1533-position model. The record is from RNAcentral.
AACGAACGCUGGCGGCAGGCCUAAUACAUGCAAGUCGAGCGCUCUAGCAAUAGAGAGCGGCGCACGGGUGCGUAACGCGUGGGAAUAUGCCUUUAGGUACGGAACAACCAAGGGAAACUUUGGCUAAUAACGUAUAAUAUCUUUGGAUCAAAGGAUUUCGCCUAAAGAUUUGCCCGCAUCUGAUUAGCUAGUUGGUGGGGUAAAGUCCUACCAAAGCAACGAUCAGUAGCUGGUCUUAGAGGCUGCAUAGCCACACUGGAGCUGAGACACAGUCCAUACUCCUACGCGAGGCAGCAGUAAGUAAUAUUGGACAUGCAGGGUAACCCUGGUCCAGCCAUGCUGCGCUUUUGACGAAGGCCUUAGGGUUGUAAAGCUUUUUUAGUGAAGAAGAUUAUCACGGUACCCACAGAAUAAGCCCCUGCUCAAUUCGUGCCAGCAGCCGCAGUAA